AGAGUUUGAUCAUGGCUCAGAGUGAACGCUGGCGGCGUGCUUAACACAUGCAAGUCGAACGAGAACGGGCCUAGCUUGCUAGGCUGUCAGCUAAGUGGCGCACGGGUGAGUAAUGUAUAGUUGAUCUGCCCCUUGGAGGGGGAUAGCCAUUGGAAACGAUGAUUAAUACCCCAUACUCCUAUGUACGUAAGGUAUAUAGGGAAACGUCUUUUCGCCAAGGGAUGAGACUAUAUGGCAUCAGGUAGUUGGUGGGGUAAUGGCCCACCAAGCCAAUGACGCCUAGCUGGUCUGAGAGGAUGAUCAGCCACACUGGUACUGAGACACGGACCAGACUCCUACGGGAGGCAGCAGUGGGGAAUAUUGCACAAUGGAGGAAACUCUGAUGCAGCAACGCCGCGUGGAGGAUGACGCAUUUCGGUGUGUAAACUCCUUUUAUAUGGGAAGAUAAUGACGGUACCAUAUGAAUAAGCACCGGCUAACUCCGUGCCAGCAGCCGCGGUAAUAUGGAGGGUGCAAGCGUUACUCGGAAUCACUGGGCGUAAAGCGCGCGCAGGCGGUUUGAUAAGUUGGAUGUGAAAUCCUAUGGCUCAACCAUAGAACUGCAUCCAAAACUGUCAAACUAGAGUCUGGGAGAGGAAGAUGGAAUUAGUUGUGUAGGGGUAAAAUCCCGUAGAGAUAACUAGGAAUACCAAAAGCGAAGGCGAUCUUCUGGAACAGUACUGACGCUGAGGCGCGAAAGCGUGGGGAGCAAACAGGAUUAGAUACCCUGGUAGUCCACGCCCUAAACGAUGAAUGUUAGUCGUUGGAGUCCUAGUGACUUCAGUGAUGCAGCUAACGCAUUAAGCAUUCCGCCUGGGGAGUACGGUCGCAAGAUUAAAA
RNAcentral lists this ribosomal RNA (879 nucleotides) under uncultured Campylobacterota bacterium. Its description in RNAcentral is "bacterial SSU rRNA". It matches the Rfam family "Bacterial small subunit ribosomal RNA", at positions 8 to 899 of the family's 1533-position model. The record is from RNAcentral. Lineage: Bacteria; Pseudomonadati; Campylobacterota.